This 71-nucleotide transfer RNA is filed under the name Marmota monax (woodchuck). Its description in RNAcentral is "tRNA.Ala". The record is from RNAcentral. Lineage: Eukaryota; Metazoa; Chordata; Mammalia; Rodentia; Sciuridae.
GGGGUUGGGGAUCAGUGGUAGAACACUCACCUAGCACAUGUGAGGCCCUGGGUUCAAUCCUCAGCACCACA